RNAcentral lists this ribosomal RNA (229 nucleotides) under uncultured bacterium. RNAcentral's name for it is "partial 16S ribosomal RNA". It matches the Rfam family "Bacterial small subunit ribosomal RNA", at positions 568 to 796 of the family's 1533-position model. The record is from RNAcentral.
UACGUAGGCGGUGCGGUAAGUUGGAUGUGAAAUCCCACGGCUCAACCGUGGAACUGCGUUCAAUACUGCCGUGCUUGAGGGAGACAGAGGCGAGUGGAACUGAUGGUGGAGCGGUGAAAUGCGUUGAUAUCAUCAGGAACACCCGUGGCGAAAGCGGCUCGCUGGGUCUCUUCUGACGCUGAGGUACGAAAGCUAGGGGAGCGAACAGGAUUAGAUACCCUGGUAGUCC